RNAcentral lists this ribosomal RNA (229 nucleotides) under Kluyvera sichuanensis. RNAcentral describes it as "partial 16S ribosomal RNA". It matches the Rfam family "Bacterial small subunit ribosomal RNA", at positions 896 to 1124 of the family's 1533-position model. The record is from RNAcentral. RNAcentral also lists the same sequence under 1 other name. Lineage: Bacteria; Pseudomonadati; Pseudomonadota; Gammaproteobacteria; Enterobacterales; Enterobacteriaceae.
AAAACUCAAAUGAAUUGACGGGGGCCCGCACAAGCGGUGGAGCAUGUGGUUUAAUUCGAUGCAACGCGAAGAACCUUACCUACUCUUGACAUCCACGGAAUUUAGCAGAGAUGCUUUAGUGCCUUCGGGAACCGUGAGACAGGUGCUGCAUGGCUGUCGUCAGCUCGUGUUGUGAAAUGUUGGGUUAAGUCCCGCAACGAGCGCAACCCUUAUCCUUUGUUGCCAGCGG